CAUCUAUUCAGUUACUUCUCAAAACUGAAUGAAUAAACCAAAAACAUCCCAGCAACUUAAUACAUUUAGGCAUCUGGAGGUUGUAAACAUGGCUUGCUAAAGUUCAGGCUGAGUAUUAAAAUGAAGAACACUUUUGAGUCACUUUAAAUGUGGUAAUGUUUUUUUUAUGACACUAUUGACCUUUUUUGAACAGUAAAUGAACAGGAAAUAGGGAGAAGAAAGAAGGGAAAGACAUGCAGCAAAUGACCCGAGAACAGAACCAAUGACAAUCAAUGGAGGAUCACAACAACCACAUGGUACCAACUGGGCCUCUUAGCACCCCAAGCAUGGGGGUUGGUCCUGAACCAGUCAGAGUAUUUUAGGAGCUGCUGAUCUUCUGGGAUUUUCAAAAAUAAUCUGUUGUUGGGUUUACAGAGAACAGUUUAAGUAAGCAAUUGUGCAGGUAAAAAAAAGAAAAGCAUUGCUUUGCAAAAAUGUUUGUCAGAGAUAAGAGGACAUUGUUUUAGACUGAGCAUUUGCCUAAAUAACCACUUGGUAAAACCAAAGAAAUCCAGUCCUUAGAAACUGACUGCACAUUGCAUGUUAAAACUUUUUUGUUAAAGCAGAGUGAAAAUAUCUUCAGCUAAGAACAAGUAACAGAGAAUAGAAAUCACACAGGUUGAGCAAAAUUGGACAAUGAUAGAACAGAAAAAUGUUGUCUGGCAUAAGUAAUAAGUUACUUAUUAAGUAACUUCUUAAUAAGUUACUUAUUAAGAAGUUGAUAAGUAACUUUUUAGCAAGUUACUGAUUAAGAAAUAAGUAAAUUCCUUACUUUUUUCUUAAGUAAGGAAGUUACUUAAGAAAUAAGUAACUUCCUGGAUAUUAUUGCAUCCAGCAGUCCUUGUGCAGUCUUGUCCUAUUGAUUUGGCUGAUUGGUGGUGAGCUCCAUUCCUUCCAUUACUUCAUGGCAUUUCAAAUCAAACAUUUACCACAAUGUUAGGAUAUCAUGCAGCAAACCCACUUGUUUGGCAUCAGGACAUGAAGAUAUUUAUAGUCACCACCACUAGUAUUUCCUCUUACAUAUCCUGCUUCUUAUUUUUGGGUUUAGAUGCUGCCUAUAUUCUUGCAACUAUAAAUAAUCCAUCUUUUUAUCAAGGUAACGAACAUGAUUGGGAAGAAGACAGACGGAGUAGUUGGGUGCCUGUUUUAUUAGUCUUUGGUUAUCACAAUGGGUCUUUUAUUUAUUUAUUUAUUUAUUUUUUUACUUUUUUAUGAGUUUCCAAUAAUGUUUUAAAGCUGAAACAUCUUGUUCUGAGAUGAAAAUAUAAAGUCUCAGAUAUUUCAGGCCCAUAUUUAUCUGCUGUGCUUUAGCUCUGUCUUUAAAAAGGAUUCUCUGCAGGAAAAUCAUUCAUGUUAAGUUUUUUAUCUCUGACUUGUCAAUCUCCUGCUACUGCCAAGGCUUAAAUUUUGCUAUUAGUGACUUUAUUUUGUUUUUGCACCUGAGUAACGUCUUGGGGUAUCUUCCUGCUCUUACUCAAGGUCAAAUUCACCUGAAUAAUUCUGUCUUCUGAGUCUGUAAAACUUUGCAUAUUUUGGAGACAGGCAGAUCAAAUCAAGUCAAAGUUUAAUUUAGAGAAAUUUACAAACAUUAAGACAAAUUAGGCUCUUUAACUAUGAAUAACUGUUCACAUAGUUUUUCAUGCUAAUCUUUACUGAAAAACAAAGGAUGUGCAAAUGUCUGUUAUGUUUCACAGCAGUUUUAUUUUUAGCCAUAUGUUUGUUAUCAGCAAGAUAACUAACAUGCGUUUGCCAAUGAAAGCUACCUUUGACAAUAUUGACAUAAGUGCACAUUUUUUACUCGCAUUUCUAAUAUACACCCAACACCUUUUGCCAUUGUCCUUAAAUGUGAAAUCAGAAAAUCUGAAACACUUCAAAAUAAUAAAGGCAUAUGUGAGGAAAUAAUGAGGUUAGGCGAUUUCUUCAGUGCACUAGAAAAGAAAUCACUUGUUCUGUUUCAGCCUGGAGGAGCGGAUUUACCGUUUAUCUAUACUGAUAAGAGUUUUGAAGUCAGACAGACUGCACUCAAUGUCUCAGCAGGCAUCAGACAGAUUGGCAGCUUGUUCUUCAUCUCGUCACUUUUCUACAGAGCAUCCAUGCUGAGCUCCAGGUACAAAGGGCGUCUCAGAGUUGAUGUGAUUGAAACUUCUGGAUAACAUCAUGCUACACAGAGUUGAGAAGGACAGGUUCAACCUUAAUGGAUUUGCUUGAGACAAAGAUGACCCAAGGCACUCGCCCUUUGCUUGUUUGUCUGAAUAAAAUACAUACAUAUUGUAUUUUAACAUAUUUGUAACUUUCUGAACUGAUGGACUUUUAACCUGUCCAGGGACUAAUGUGCAACCGUUUGCCUUGAAAACAGAUAACUGAUGCAAGAAAAGUUUAUUUUUUUAAAAUUUGAAUAAGAGAAAAACAUGCUAAAUGUUACUGUCAGAAAUGAUUGUUAGUCGCAGUGCUGUAUUUAAGGCAUUUAUGAAUCUGAUAAAAAGAUUAUCCUAAUGAUCAUUGUUCACAAUGCUGUAGCAUGUACAUAUAUGAUUGAUGUGUUUGCAACAUAGCACCACACAGUUUUACAUAAUGAAUGGUACAACAGCAAUAAGUCAGUCAUAUUUCUUAAAAUGCAAACAGAUUCCAUCUCAUUCAGCAAAAACUUUAGUGAUACAAAAAUAUAAAAGUAAAAUAUAACUGGUAAAAAAAUCAAAUAAACCAAAAGAAAACCUGAAGUGGCUUUAUCCUACAUCUCUUUGCCUGUAACACAAUGUCAGAUGUCCUACAAGAGUCAUUGGUUGCAUGAAAAUAUGCAUAAAGUAUGGGUUACAAGAUUACUUUUUCUUUGAAGUCUUGAAUAUUUUUGAGAAAAAAAAACAAAAUACAAUCCUGUGAUAAAAGCAGCAGAGAGGAAUAUGCAGUAGAGUACAGAACGAGCAGACAAAGUUAAGAGACCUUGAUGUUAGUAUUCAAUGAAAACAGUCCACCUAUCAUAGUGCAAAGAGAUCUUAGGCUGACUAGAUAUUUCACACAAUUUUCACUAGAACAUAUAAGAAGUCUCAGUUUUUAGUAAAUUCCAUGUUAAAUGUGACUCAGAUCACUGAGGUUUAUGACUUCCUGAAGAACAUAAGCCAACCAGCAAAACUAGAUCUUGUUCAGGCUUCACUGU
Molecule: long non-coding RNA, 3190 nt
Organism: Poecilia latipinna (sailfin molly)
Lineage: Eukaryota; Metazoa; Chordata; Actinopteri; Cyprinodontiformes; Poeciliidae
Exons: 3
Source: RefSeq, a predicted model, not a curated record